Phacochoerus africanus (Common warthog) is the source of this 1327-nucleotide long non-coding RNA. RefSeq lists it as uncharacterized. The record is from RefSeq and is a predicted model, not a curated record. Lineage: Eukaryota; Metazoa; Chordata; Mammalia; Artiodactyla; Suidae. The transcript is spliced from 3 exons.
GAUCUCCAACCCCCACCACAGCUUAUCUGUUGGUGUCACUGGCCCCAUUUCCACAUAAAGGAACAGAGGCUCAGAGAGGUAAAGUGACCCAGUGAGGAAGGGGGAGAGUUGGGGUUCAAAUCCCGGCCUUCCUGCUCCGACAUCUCCUCCACCCGGCCCAGGCCGUUUUCUGACUCCUUUGGGCCUCAGUGUUACCACCCAGGGAAGUGGAUCCAGGGUAAUACCAACCUUCCGACAGGGAUAAAGAGGUAGAAAAUGGCCAGCACGCAGGUCCGCUGGUCCCUGACGAAGAGGUCUCCCAGGACGGUGGGCGCAAUGGUGGAGUAGCUGGCUGUGCCAAUGCCUACCACUCCCCGGGACAGGAAGAAGAGCCAGGCGUGCUGGGCAAACGGGCACAAGACCACACAUCAGCCCAACAGUGGAAAAGCCAACAGCUCCCUCCAAGGCUGUGUAAAUAUGAAGCAGAAGUGAACACAGAGCCCAGUAUGGAGCUGCCAGUGCCCCGUAUUUACAAGAAUUCCCGCCCCCUUAAACGCUUAUGAACUGGCGACUGGAUUUAACGAAUGCGUUUGCUAUUCCGCGAAGACAAAGAAACUGCCACGUUUUUGCUGGACUGUAUGUACCACGUGGAUAGGUACCCUCACUGCUCUGGUUCCUCACAGAAAAACGCCUCCACCCUCCUCUGUGCGUCUGCAGCCUCCGAGAGCUGGCAGGUGGUGAGGGCAAAGUCUGACCCUGCUCCCCCACCCCGACCCCACCCCCCAAGAGCCUUAGGCUUUGGAGAGCCCCGCCCAGCGUCUGCGUCGUCAUUCACGGGCACAGAUGAUUGACACUUCCUGAGCCCAAUGACUGUUCAGGCGCUACCUGGCGCGGGUUCCAGCCCCGCCCACUUCUCUCUGACCCGCUCUAGUAUUGGUUUGAGCCAUAUGCUGUUGCGGAAAUUAAGCCAGUUUUGACCUACAAAAAAGGCAAUUUAAAAUGGUUUGACCUAAUACACUGCAGAGAACGGUCUUUGGUGUCAACGCCAUUUAAAAAUUUAAUAGCCACUGUCACAAUAGGUUUCCGAAAAGGAUGUAUCAAUUUACACUUGAAUAGAAAUGCAUGUAUAUAUAUAUACCAGCACCCUUGCUGAUACUUGAUAGGAUCAAUUAAUUUUUGUUCAUUUAAUGGUUUAAAAACAAACGGCAUCUCGCUGACAUUUUAAUUUGCAUUGUUCUUUUUCCCAGUGAGGCUGAGUAGCAGUCCCUGUGUUCAUAUCCUCUGCCCAUUUUUUUGUUAGGUUCUUUUGAUAAUUCCUCUUACUCCUUUAUUUAUUUAUGUGUGUAUG